RNAcentral lists this ribosomal RNA (312 nucleotides) under Clostridioides difficile. RNAcentral describes it as "bacterial SSU rRNA". It matches the Rfam family "Bacterial small subunit ribosomal RNA", at positions 497 to 809 of the family's 1533-position model. Lineage: Bacteria; Bacillati; Bacillota; Clostridia; Peptostreptococcales; Peptostreptococcaceae. The record is from RNAcentral.
CUAACUACGUGCCAGCAGCCGCGGUAAUACGUAGGGGGCUAGCGUUAUCCGGAUUUACUGGGCGUAAAGGGUGCGCAGGCGGUCUUUCAAGUCAGGAGUGAAAGGCUACGGCUCAACCGCAGUAAGCGCCUGAAACUGGGAGACUUGCGUGCAGGAGCGGAGAGGGGAAUGCCGUGUGUAGCGGGGAAAUGCGUAGAUAUUCGGAGGAACACCAGCUGCGCAGGCGGCCCUCUGGCCGGUAACUGACGCUGAGGCACGAAAGCGUGGGGAGCAAACAGGAUUAGAUACCCUGGUAGUCCACGCUGUAAACGA